Molecule: transfer RNA, 74 nt
Filed under: Erinaceus europaeus (western European hedgehog)
Lineage: Eukaryota; Metazoa; Chordata; Mammalia; Eulipotyphla; Erinaceidae
Rfam family: tRNA
About the family: Transfer RNA (tRNA) molecules are approximately 80 nucleotides in length. Their secondary structure includes four short double-helical elements and three loops (D, anti-codon, and T loops).
Source: Rfam by way of RNAcentral
UGAGAAAUAGCUCAGUGGGUAGAGUACAUGCCCUGCCAUUCACGAAGCCCCAGGUUCAAUCCCUGGUACCACAU